This 94-nucleotide transfer RNA is filed under the name Haloarcula sebkhae. RNAcentral's name for it is "tRNA-Arg". Lineage: Archaea; Methanobacteriati; Methanobacteriota; Halobacteria; Halobacteriales; Haloarculaceae. The record is from RNAcentral.
CUUGGGGGUGCGGGCGUCGGAGUCGGGCUGGAGGUCGGUUCCGGUGGUGUUUCGGUCGAAGUAUCACCGCCGGUUCCGAAUCCGGCAUCCGGGG